RNAcentral lists this ribosomal RNA (247 nucleotides) under uncultured bacterium. RNAcentral's name for it is "partial 16S ribosomal RNA". It matches the Rfam family "Bacterial small subunit ribosomal RNA", at positions 523 to 769 of the family's 1533-position model. The record is from RNAcentral.
AUACGUAGGGUGCGAGCGUUAAUCGGAAUUACUGGGCGUAAAGCGUGCGCAGGCGGCUUUGUAAGACAGGUGUGAAAUCCCCGGGCUUAACCUGGGAACUGCGCUUGUGACUGCAAGGCUCGAGUGCGGCAGAGGGGGGUGGAAUUCCACGUGUAGCAGUGAAAUGCGUAGAGAUGUGGAGGAACACCGAUGGCGAAGGCAGCCCCCUGGGUCGACACUGACGCUCAUGCACGAAAGCGUGGGUAGC